Molecule: non-coding RNA, 230 nt
Organism: Pelobates cultripes (western spadefoot toad)
Lineage: Eukaryota; Metazoa; Chordata; Amphibia; Anura; Pelobatidae
Source: the annotation of a GenBank genome assembly
GUUCCAUUAAGUGAAAAUAGCAUUGGGAAGUUGGUCACGUGAUGUGAGUGUGUAAUUGGUCGCAAUGCUACAUGGGAUAUGUAGUAAAUGAUUACAGAGCCGAUGUGGAUGUCGUCGGCCAUAUUGUGAAGGGUAAGAGGAAAAUUGCGGCGGCCAUAUUGUGAAGAUCAAAUAGUGGCCGAAAAUAGUGGUCGCCAUGUUGGGGAGGUCUUUUUGACAAGGUUCCUAUU